Long non-coding RNA from Gossypium arboreum, 685 nucleotides. RefSeq lists it as uncharacterized. Lineage: Eukaryota; Viridiplantae; Streptophyta; Magnoliopsida; Malvales; Malvaceae. The transcript has 2 exons. The record is from RefSeq and is a predicted model, not a curated record.
AAUUAUAAAUAAAUAUAAACUUGAUUUAAAAUAUUGAAAAUGCGGAAGGGCUGAUUGCGCAAAUAACCCUUCCGCAUUUAAAAACACGCGGAUCCUGUUGGGGCGGGUCGGGUCGACCCGACCCACCCCUGAAACGACGUCGUUUUAUGUAUAAAAGGGGGGGUCCAAAACACCGUUUUGGACCCCUAUAUAAGUCAAAAAAAUUUUUAAAAUCUCAUUUGGCAUCAGCAGAGAAAAAAAAAAGAAGAAAGAGAAGGGAGAAAAGAGAGAAGGGAGGAAGGAGGGGGAGAGCUCCGGCCACGGGUCCGACCGCCGGAUGGUCGCCGGAGGUCCGCCGGCGCCAGCGUCGCGGUGGCCGAAAAAGGGUAUGGCCGGUGCUGUGGAGUGCGUGGUGGCCGACAUGGUGGCAUGGGGAGCUGGGGCGCCAGGGCAUGGGCUAGUGUCAGAGGGGCGUGCGGCGCAAGUGGGAUUAGGGUUUCUGAGUGCUGAGUGGGAUUAUUGGGCUGGGGUAGUUGGGCUUCGGGUUUAGUUGUUUAGGCUUAAUGGGCUUAUUGGGUUAGAGGUUUUAAGGGGUUUAGUGUUUUGUAAAUGGGGUUUUAAAUUGUAAAUGGGAUUGGGCUGAAAUUGGCCUAGUACAAUGUUUAAUAAUAAGUUAAUUUAUAAAAUAUAUUUUCAUUGGACACAA